RNAcentral lists this ribosomal RNA (497 nucleotides) under uncultured bacterium. RNAcentral describes it as "partial 16S ribosomal RNA". It matches the Rfam family "Bacterial small subunit ribosomal RNA", at positions 28 to 507 of the family's 1533-position model. The record is from RNAcentral.
GAUGAACGCUGGCGGCGUGCCUAAUACAUGCAAGUCGAGCGAACAGACGAGGAGCUUGCUCCUCUGACGUUAGCGGCGGACGGGUGAGUAACACGUGGAUAACCUACCUAUAAUACUGGGAUAACUUCGGGAAACCGGAGCUAAUACCGGAUAAUAUAUUGAACCGCAUGGUUCAAUAGUGAAAGACGGUUUUGCUGUCACUUAUAGAUGGAUCCGCGCUGCAUUAGCUAGUUGGUAAGGUAACGGCUUACCAAGGCAACGAUGCGUAGCCGACCUGAGAGGGUGAUCGGCCACACUGGAACUGAGACACGGUCCAGACUCCUACGGGAGGCAGCAGUAGGGAAUCUUCCGCAAUGGGCGAAAGCCUGACGGAGCAACGCCGCGUGAGUGAUGAAGGUCUUCGGAUCGUAAAACUCUGUUAUUAGGGAAGAACAAAUGUGGAAGUAACUAUGCACGUCUUGACGGUACCUAAUCAGAAAGCCACGGCUAACUACGUG